GCACGUCAGGCGUGGCAGAUUCUGCAAGAACCGUUCUCUUUGAGUGCACGUAUUUUAAAGGCUUCCUACUUCCCGGAUACUUCGUUCCUUCAUGCGGAACUGGGCACUCGUCCAUCCCAGAUUUGGUGGGUGAUUCUGGAAGGAAGAUAUAUUAUGAAACAAGGAAUUAUAAGGCGUAUUGGCAAUGGCCAGACAACUCAUAUCUGGGAUGACAAUUGGAUCCCGAAGGAGGCUUCACUUCGCCCUAUAGUCUCACUAGUUUUUGACCCACCUACUUUGGUGUCAGAACUCUUGCUGCCAGCUAUGGUGACAUGGAAUAAACCUCUGAUCCGAGCUACCUUACUUCCAAUCGAUGUUGAGUCUAUUCUGAAGCUUCCGGUAUGCACAAGAAAUGUCAACGACUUCUGGGCUUGGCACCCGGAUAGUAAGGGCCGUUUCACUGUUAGCUCAGCAUAUAAGUUCUUGAUAACAACAAAAAUCCAGAUGGAGAACUGGUUGGAGGGUCGAAGUGGCUCAUCCAGUAGGGAGCGGGAAGAAAAAUCUUGGACCUCAAUAUGGAAUUUGACAGUCCCUUCGAAGGUCAAAGUGUUCAUUUGGAGGCUAGCAUGUCAUUCCCUGCCAACCACUGAUCUUCUUAAGCGCCGUAAUAUGUCGACCCGAGAUGCUUGUCCACUUUGUGGCUACGAUGAUUCAUGGCGCCAUGCUUUAUUAUCUUGCACUAUGGCGAGGUGUACCUGGGCGCUCACUGAUGUCUGCUAG
RNAcentral lists this ribosomal RNA (759 nucleotides) under Triticum aestivum (bread wheat). RNAcentral describes it as "partial small subunit ribosomal RNA". The record is from RNAcentral. Lineage: Eukaryota; Viridiplantae; Streptophyta; Magnoliopsida; Poales; Poaceae.